CAUUUCUAGCUUGCUAGGAGAUGACGAGCGGCGGACGGGUGAGUAAUACUUGGGGAUCUGCCUGAUGGCGGGGGACAACCACUGGAAACGGCGGCUAAUACCGCAUAAUGCCUACGGGCCAAAGUGUGGGACCUUCGGGCCACAUGCCAUCAGAUGAACCCAAGCGAGAUUAGCUAGUUGGUGAGGUAAUGGCUCACCAAGGCGACGAUCUCUAGCUGUUCUGAGAGGAUGAUCAGCCACACUGGGACUGAGACACGGCCCAGACUCCUACGGGAGGCAGCAGUGGGGAAUAUUGGACAAUGGGCGCAAGCCUGAUCCAGCCAUGCCGCGUGUGUGAAGAAGGCCUUCGGGUUGUAAAGCACUUUCAGUGGUGAGGAAGGCCUUGUAGUUAAUAGCUGCAAGGAUUGACGUUAGCCACAGAAGAAGCACCGGCUAACUCCGUGCCAGCAGCCGCGGUAAUACGGAGGGUGCGAGCGUUAAUCGGAAUUACUGGGCGUAAAGCGCACGUAGGCGGUUUGUUAAGCAAGAUGUGAAAGCCCAGGGCUCAACCUUGGAAUAGCAUUUUGAACUGGCAAGCUAGAGUUUUGAAGAGGGUGGUAGAAUUUCCAGUGUAGCGGUGAAAUGCGUAGAUAUUGGAAGGAAUACCAGUGGCGAAGGCGGCCACCUGGUCAAAAACUGACGCUGAGGAGCGAAAGCGUGGGGAGCAAACAGGAUUAGAUACCCUGGUAGUCCACGCCGUAAACGAUGUCAACUAGUUGUUCGUGUCUUUAAGACGUGAGUAACGCAGCUAACGCACUAAGUUGACCGCCUGGGGGAGUACGGCCGCAAGGUUAAAACUCAAAUGAAUUGACGGGGGCCCGCACAAGCGGUGGAGCAUGUGGUUUAAUUCGAUGUAACGCGAAGAACCUUACCAUCCCUUGACAUCCA
RNAcentral lists this ribosomal RNA (927 nucleotides) under uncultured bacterium. Its description in RNAcentral is "bacterial SSU rRNA". It matches the Rfam family "Bacterial small subunit ribosomal RNA", at positions 70 to 990 of the family's 1533-position model. The record is from RNAcentral.